This 208-nucleotide ribosomal RNA is filed under the name uncultured bacterium. RNAcentral describes it as "partial 16S ribosomal RNA". It matches the Rfam family "Bacterial small subunit ribosomal RNA", at positions 568 to 774 of the family's 1533-position model. The record is from RNAcentral.
UGCGCAGGCGGCAAGGCAAGUCGAGUGUGAAAGCCCCCGGGCUUAACUUGGGAAUUGCGCUCGAAACUACUUUGCUGGAGUGUGGCAGAGGAAGGUGGAAUUCCACGUGUAGCGGUGAAAUGCGUAGAGAUGUGGAGGAACACCAAUGGCGAAGGCAGCCCUCUGGGCCAACACUGACGCUCAUGCACGAAAGCGUGGGGAGCAAACA